GGUAAAAUGGCUGAUGUUAAGGUGAUAAAUUGUAAAUUUAUUUAUGAAUUAAAAUUCUUUUACCA
This 65-nucleotide transfer RNA is filed under the name Ixodes confusus. RNAcentral's name for it is "tRNA-Tyr". It matches the Rfam family "tRNA". Rfam says of the family: Transfer RNA (tRNA) molecules are approximately 80 nucleotides in length. Their secondary structure includes four short double-helical elements and three loops (D, anti-codon, and T loops). The record is from RNAcentral. Lineage: Eukaryota; Metazoa; Arthropoda; Arachnida; Ixodida; Ixodidae.